CACCCACACUGCACUGAUCCAAGUUGUUUUUUCUUUUUUUUAUGUUUAUCAUGUAUAAUGUGGGUAAGAUUUAAAAAAAGAAAAAAGGUUUGUUAAAUAAGGCAAAUUGGGCUUUCUGUAACCUAAGGUUAAGUUGAAGAAUGUGUGUAAAGCGCACACAAGUUAUAUGUUUGCAAAAUGGUGGCACAGCCAAAAGUAAACUGUUCAGAUGUCUUGGUUUCUCAUAGUUGUUUUUGUUGAAAUAGUUACAAUAACACAGACAGGUCCAGGAAGUAGUUGUGGGUAUACUUAAGGGGCCAACACCUAAUGAGCACAUUGGAAAUACAGUGUUUGCAUUUUGUCUCUGGCAGCAGUGACACACACACACACCAAACCUGCAGAUGAUAUACAUGGCAAUACAAGGCUGAUCUGUAAAUUCAUCACCUGAGAAAUGCUUAUCAAUAUGUGUGAUCACAUGGGAAAUGUGUUUAAUUUAAUAUGUAUCAAUAAAGUUAUUUUGAUUGGACAUGAGUAAUGUACAGUGUUCGAAAUAUUUUUUUAAGUAGAAAAAAAUAUUUUUUUUAUGUUUUUUCCUAGUAUUUUUGAGAAUUUACGCAAAGACAAAUGAAACAAAAUGUUUUAAAAACGUUUUUUUUUCCUCUAAAAUAAGGCGAUAUGGUUUCCCCUUUGGUUGCGCUCGGCUCCUAGUACCGUAGUUGGUUUGUGCGCAUAAGCGCGUGGUCACAAGAUACAGGCUUUCCGCCAGUAGCAAUUUUGAUUGGCUGGCCGAAGCUUUCUCCGUUUCAAAUCGUUUUCACCCGGAAGCUAUGGACAUUUAGCUAACACGAAGCUGCUGUAAACACUUAAAAAAAAACAGGCGCAGGUUUGUCCGGCAGACGAUAAACAUGAAAGGAAAAGUUAAGCGAAAGGUGGUGUCGUCGGGGAGGCUAACUGGAGCAGUUGAAGCUAAUCGUGUAACUUUAGGUGCAGCAGCAGCCAGCACUGAACCGGCCUAUUCUCUGUACUCCACAGACUCCGAGGAUCAGGUAAUGAAGUCACCACGCUCCAUAAAGGUCUGGACAGAUGUGCUGUGCUGCUCAGUGGCAUCCUCCAGGCAGAAAAAGCAGGUUGUUAUGACAGCAGAGCAGCCUCUGUACAAACAGGAGGUGAAAAGUUAAGGUUUUAAAAUAUUAAUAUACGGUAUGUUUUUGCUAG
Molecule: long non-coding RNA, 1194 nt
Organism: Parambassis ranga (Indian glassy fish)
Lineage: Eukaryota; Metazoa; Chordata; Actinopteri; Ambassidae
Product: coiled-coil domain containing 14
Source: Ensembl